CCUACGGGAGACAGCAGUGAGGAAUAUUGGUCAAUGGGCGGGAGCCUGAACCAGCCAAGUCGCGUGAGGGAAGACGGUCCUAUGGAUUGUAAACCUCUUUAGGCGGGGAGCAAUGCCGGGCACGCGUGCCCGGAGGGAGAGUACCCGCAGAAUAAGCAUCGGCUAACUCCGUGCCAGCAGCCGCGGUAAUACGGAGGAUGCGAGCGUUAUCCGGAUUGAUUGGGUUUAAAGGGUGCGUAGGCGGAUUUUUAAGUCAGCGGUAAAAUGUCCGGGCUCAACCCGGGCCGGCCGUUGAAACUGGGGAUCUUGAGUGGGCGAGAAGUAUGCGGAAUGCGUGGUGUAGCGGUGAAAUGCAUAGAUAUCACGCAGAACUCCGAUUGCGAAGGCAGCAUACCGGCGCCCGACUGACGCUGAGGCACGAAAGCGUGGGGAUCGAACAGGAUUAGAUACCCCAGUAGUC
This 460-nucleotide ribosomal RNA is filed under the name uncultured bacterium. RNAcentral describes it as "partial 16S ribosomal RNA". It matches the Rfam family "Bacterial small subunit ribosomal RNA", at positions 338 to 795 of the family's 1533-position model. The record is from RNAcentral.